This 253-nucleotide ribosomal RNA is filed under the name uncultured bacterium. Its description in RNAcentral is "partial 16S ribosomal RNA". It matches the Rfam family "Bacterial small subunit ribosomal RNA", at positions 524 to 776 of the family's 1533-position model. The record is from RNAcentral.
UACGUAGGGGGCAAGCGUUAUCCGGAUUUACUGGGUGUAAAGGGAGCGUAGGCGGAAUUGCAAGUCUGAUGUGAAAAUCCGGGGCCCAACCCCGGAACUGCAUUGGAAACUGUAUUUCUAGAGUGUCGGAGAGGCAAGUGGAAUUCCUGGUGUAGCGGUGAAAUGCGUAGAUAUCAGGAGGAACACCAGUGGCGAAGGCGGCUUGCUGGACGAUGACUGACGUUGAGGCUCGAAAGCGUGGGGAGCAAACAGG